RNAcentral lists this ribosomal RNA (216 nucleotides) under uncultured bacterium. RNAcentral describes it as "partial 16S ribosomal RNA". It matches the Rfam family "Bacterial small subunit ribosomal RNA", at positions 1285 to 1500 of the family's 1533-position model. The record is from RNAcentral.
GUCCCAGUUCGGAUUGCAGGCUGCAACCCGCCUGCAUGAAGUUGGAAUCGCUAGUAAUCGCGGAUCAGCAUGCCGCGGUGAAUACGUUCCCGGGCCUUGUACACACCGCCCGUCACACCAUGAGAGUCGGGAACACCCGAAGUCCGUAGCCUGACCGCAAGGAGGGCGCGGCCGAAGGUGGGUUCGAUAAUUGGGGUGAAGUCGUAACAAGGUACC